Molecule: long non-coding RNA, 1125 nt
Organism: Sitophilus oryzae (rice weevil)
Lineage: Eukaryota; Metazoa; Arthropoda; Insecta; Coleoptera; Curculionidae
Exons: 2
Source: RefSeq, a predicted model, not a curated record
UUUGCCUAUUGUAAAGAAGGUGUACAACGUCUCUUAGCUGCACACGGUCGAACGCUUUUUCUAAAUCAAUAAAACACAUAUACGCUGGUUUGUUAUAUUCGAUUGAUUUUUCUGUUAUCUGUCUUAUGACAAAAACCGCGUCUGUGCAUGAUCUGCCCGAUCUGAAACCUUGCUGUUCAUCUGCUAAGCAUGUUAAGUCGUUUAUUUUGGUUGUUAUCACUUUUGUCGUAAGUUUUAGUGUGGUGCUUAGAAGAUUUAUGCCUCUAUAGUUUGAGGGCAGCUUCUUAUCUCCUCUUUUAAACAUCAAGAUAGUGGUGCUGGUUCGCCAUUCAUCGGGUAUCCUGUGUUGGUAAAGAAUUUUUUGAAUCAGGGAUGUUAGCUGCUGUAUGAGAGAUAGUAAAAAAAAACUAAGUAUGUAAAAAAACUAUUCAAGAACACUUUAAUUUUUUUUGGUAGAUGUGUUUUUAUCAAUUAAUUCGCAUCGAUAAAGGCUUAUCAGUAUGCCAGAGAUAAGAUAUGUUUAAUUAAUUUAAUCACUCUUACUUCUGCAAUCUCAGUUUAAUUGUUACUUUGAAUGUUACCUGACGAUUUUUGUAGAAAUAAUUAAUUAUGAGUAAUCUACUCAAAGUUGUUAUUUUCCUAAUUACAUUGGUGACAUGUAUAAGUGUGAUCGCGUCGUUCAACUUGGGAGAUAGACUAAAAUCUUCAUCCAACUCCGAAUCAGAAGAUCAUGAGGAUCCAGCAAUAUUCCGUAUGGUUCAGAGCAUAAUAAAUGUACCUUGUAAAGCUGGAUACGUUUAUAUAAACAACAAAUGCGUCAAAUCUUAUGAUUAAAACGAUUCAGAUUCAGAAGUUCCAACUAAAUACUGACCAAUAAGAAUAUACACCAGGCAUCAAUAAAAAAUGGACCAAUUAUACAUGUAUAAAAAUAUAACAAUAUUAAAUGUCAUAAAAUAAUGUACGUAUUUAAAUAUGGCAGUUUUAGAAUUUUACAGUUUUAGAAAUAUGGCAGUUUAGAACUUUUACAUUCGUUAACAUUUGUAUAAUGUUUUUUUUAGAAAUAUAGGUAUCUUUCUAUGUGUAUUGUAGUAUUAGAUUUGGUAAUAUUAAAUAGAUAAAAACAGU